CAAGAAUCAGAGCACAUACUCACACAGCUGAAUACCCCUUCCUGCGAAACUUCCCUCAGUUAAGGCUGCCACAUUCUGCAUGGAGUGGAAGGAAGAACAGUGGCUGUGCUGGAGAUGCCCAGUGACAUCUGAGUUGGCCAGGGAUGAUAGCACACCAGCGACGUGGAAGACCAGGAUAAUACAGUCAUCUAUAGAGAGAGAUACUGUUUAGAAGACUGGGAAUUCCACAUAUAAAACAACACAAGGUUUUAGAACCAAG
RNAcentral lists this long non-coding RNA (259 nucleotides) under Homo sapiens (human). RNAcentral describes it as "HSALNT0132908". The record is from RNAcentral. Lineage: Eukaryota; Metazoa; Chordata; Mammalia; Primates; Hominidae.